This 253-nucleotide ribosomal RNA is filed under the name uncultured bacterium. Its description in RNAcentral is "partial 16S ribosomal RNA". It matches the Rfam family "Bacterial small subunit ribosomal RNA", at positions 524 to 776 of the family's 1533-position model. The record is from RNAcentral.
UACGUAGGGACCGAGCGUUGUCCGGAAUCAUUGGGCGUAAAGAGCGUGUAGGCGGCCUGUUAAGUCUUGCGUGAAAUCUCGGGGCUCAACCCCGAGCGGUCGUGAGAAACUGGCAGGCUAGAGUGCGGGAGAGGAGAGUGGAAUUCCUGGUGUAGCGGUGAAAUGCGCAGAUAUCAGGAAGAACACCCGUGGCGAAGGCAGCUCGCUGGGACGUUACUGACACUGAGGCGCGAAAGCGUGGGGAGCGAACAGG